ACAAAUCAAACCAACAAGGUUGGUCAUGGAUGUUGAGGGUUGCUGGGUUUCAUAAUCAGCUCCCUUUAAAUAUAUUAGCUCAGAAUGAUGAGCCAUUUUAGCUUAGGCUGAUAUAAAUUGAAUGCUUUUGCUGAAGUGUUGCUUAUCUGAGCUUAUAAUUGUCUUUGUAAUGAGACUGUCUCUUUUGACAAAAUCUUGA
This 199-nucleotide unclassified non-coding RNA is filed under the name uncultured Clavariaceae. RNAcentral describes it as "sequence contains ITS2". The record is from RNAcentral. Lineage: Eukaryota; Fungi; Basidiomycota; Agaricomycetes; Agaricales; Clavariaceae.